This 501-nucleotide ribosomal RNA is filed under the name uncultured bacterium. RNAcentral describes it as "partial 16S ribosomal RNA". It matches the Rfam family "Bacterial small subunit ribosomal RNA", at positions 30 to 523 of the family's 1533-position model. The record is from RNAcentral.
AUUGAACGCUGGCGGCAUGCCUUACACAUGCAAGUCGAACGGCAGCACGGGUGCUUGCACCUGGUGGCGAGUGGCGAACGGGUGAGUAAUACAUCGGAACGUACCUUAUCGUGGGGGAUAACGCAGCGAAAGUUGCGCUAAUACCGCAUACGCCCUGCGGGGGAAAGCGGGGGACCGUAAGGCCUCGCGCGAUUAGAGCGGCCGAUGUCUGAUUAGCUUGUUGGUGAGGUAAGAGCUCACCAAGGCGAUGAUCAGUAGCUGGUCUGAGAGGACGAUCAGCCACACUGGGACUGAGACACGGCCCAGACUCCUACGGGAGGCAGCAGUGGGGAAUUUUGGACAAUGGGGGCAACCCUGAUCCAGCAAUGCCGCGUGAGUGAAGAAGGCCUUCGGGUUGUAAAGCUCUUUUGUCAGGGAAGAAACAGCAGCUCUAACACAGUCUGCGAAUGACGGUACCUGAAGAAUAAGCACCGGCUAACUACGUGCCAGCAGCCGCCGUAA